RNAcentral lists this long non-coding RNA (477 nucleotides) under Physcomitrium patens. RNAcentral's name for it is "long non-coding RNA (PPAT_LNC001063)". The record is from RNAcentral. Lineage: Eukaryota; Viridiplantae; Streptophyta; Bryopsida; Funariales; Funariaceae.
UAAUUCUAAUAGAAUAUUAACAAUGCUCUAAUUAGACCAUAAUAAUGCUAAGCAAGCUUAAUCAAAUUCAAAAAAACCUCAAAGAAAUUUCAAAAAAUAAUAAGAAUUCUUAAAGAAAUAUUAGAAGGAUCAUAAAUAUCACUCAAAUACAUCUCAAUUCAAUCUUAAUUUAAUUUUAGUUAAAAUCCUAUUGGACUUCAUUCAAACUUUAGGCCAAAACUAAUUAAAUCUUAAACCCUAAUAAAAUCCUAAAUCCUAAAUCAAACCCUAAAUCCUAAACAAACCUUAAACCAAAUCCAAACCAAAUCCUAAACCAAAUCCUAAAUCCUAAAUAAAACCCUAACCAAACUCUAAAUCUUAAAUCAAAUCCUAACCAAACCCUAAAUCCUAAACCAAAUCCCAAUCCAAACCCUAAUCCAAAUCCUAAAUCCUAAAUCAAACCCUAACCAAAUCCUAAACCCUAAACCAAAUCCUAAU